UCGAGCGGACAGAUGGGAGCUUGCUCCCUGAUGUCAGCGGCGGACGGGUGAGUAACACGUGGGUAACCUGCCUGUAAGACUGGGAUAACUCCGGGAAACCGGGGCUAAUACCGGAUGCUUGAUUGAACCGCAUGGUUCAAUUAUAAAAGGUGGCUUUUACCUACCACUUACAAAUGGACCCCCGGCCCAUUACCUAUUUGGUGAGGUAACGGCUCACCAAGGCAACAAUGCGUACCCAACCUGAAAGGGUGAUCGGCCACCCUGGGACUGAAACACGGCCCAAACUCCUACGGGAGGCACCAUUAGGGAAUCUUCCCCAAUGGACAAAAGUCUGACGGACCACCCCCCCGUGAUUGAUGAAGGUUUUCGGAUCGUAAAACUCUGUUGUUAGGGAAAAACAAUUACCGUUCGAAUAGGGCGGUACCUUGACGGUACCUAACCAAAAAGCCACGGCUAACUACUUGCCACCACCCGCGGUAAUACUUAGGUGGCAAGCGUUGUCCGGAAUUAUUGGGCGUAAAGCGCGCGCAGGCGGUUUCUUAAUUCUGAUGUGAAAGCCCCCGGCUCACCCGGGAAGGGUCAUUGGAAACUGGGGAACUUGAGUGCAGAAAAGGAGAGUGAAAUUCCACGUGUAGCGUUGAAAUGCGUAGAGAUGUGGAGGACCACCAGUGGCGAAGGCGACUCUCUGGUCCUGUAACUGACGCUGAGGCGCGAAAGCGUGGGGAGC
RNAcentral lists this ribosomal RNA (727 nucleotides) under Bacillus sonorensis. RNAcentral's name for it is "bacterial SSU rRNA". It matches the Rfam family "Bacterial small subunit ribosomal RNA", at positions 62 to 769 of the family's 1533-position model. The record is from RNAcentral. Lineage: Bacteria; Bacillati; Bacillota; Bacilli; Caryophanales; Bacillaceae.